AGCCUGUCGCAAGACAGGUGAAGACCUAGCGGCGAACGGGUGAGUAACACGUGAGGAACCUGCCCCGAAGACUGGGAUAACACCGGGAAACCGGUGCUAAUACCGGAUGCCCUCAAGGAGUCGCAUGGCUCAAUGGGGAAAUGGAUUCCGCUUCGGGAGGGCCUCGCGGCCUAUCAGCUUGUUGGUGGGGUAACGGCCUACCAAGGCUCCGACGGGUAGCUGGUCUGAGAGGACGACCAGCCACACUGGGACUGAGACACGGCCCAGACUCCUACGGGAGGCAGCAGUGGGGAAUCUUGCGCAAUGGGCGAAAGCCUGACGCAGCAACGCCGCGUGGGGGACGAAGGCCUUCGGGUUGUAAACCCCUUUCAGCAGGGACGAAAAUGACGGUACCUGCAGAAGAAGCCCCGGCCAACUACGUGCCAGCAGCCGCGGUAAUACGUAGGGGGCGAGCGUUGUCCGGAUUUAUUGGGCGUAAAGAGCUCGUAGGCGGUUUGGCAAGUCGGGUGUGAAAACUCCGGGCUCAACUCGGAGACGCCACUCGAUACAGCUAUGACUUGAGUCCGGUAGGGGAGUGCGGAAUUCCUGGUGUAGCGGUGAAAUGCGCAGAUAUCAGGAGGAACACCGGUGGCGAAGGCGGCACUCUGGGCCGGUACUGACGCUGAGGAGCGAAAGCGUGGGGAGCGAACAGGAUUAGAUACCCUGGUAGUCCACGCCGUAAACGUUGGGCACUAGGUGUGGGGCUCGAUCGACGGGCUCCGUGCCGUAGCUAACGCAUUAAGUGCCCCGCCUGGGAAGUACGGCCGCAAGGCUAAAACUCA
This 821-nucleotide ribosomal RNA is filed under the name uncultured bacterium. Its description in RNAcentral is "bacterial SSU rRNA". It matches the Rfam family "Bacterial small subunit ribosomal RNA", at positions 71 to 903 of the family's 1533-position model. The record is from RNAcentral.